UUUUUCUUUUUUUAAUUUAUUACAUUUAUUGUUGUACAAUGAUCAUCACAAUCCAAUUUUAUAGGAUUUCUAUCCCACACCCCCCGCGCAUCCCCUCACCCCACAAACUGUCUCCUUUGGAAACCAUAAGUGUUUCAAAGUCUGUGAGUCAGUAUCUGUUCUACAAAGAAGUUCAUUGUGCCCUUUUUUCAUAUUCCACAUGUCAGUGAAAGCAUUUGAUGUUGGUGUCGCAUUGUCUGACUGACUUCACUUAGCAUGAUAAUUUCUAGGUCCAUCCAUGUUGCUAAAAAUGCUGGUAUUUUGUUCUUUUUAAUGGCUAUUAUUCCAUUGCAUAUAUGUACCACAUCUUCUUGAUCCACUCCUCUGUUGAUGGACAUUUAGGUUGUUUCCAUGUGUCGGCUAUUGCAAGUAGUGCUGCAGUGAACAUUGGAGUACAGGUGUUUUUGCGACUCAUGGUUUUCUCUGGAUAGAUGCCCAGGAGUGGGAUUGCUGGAUCAAAUGGUAGUUCUAUUUUUAGUUUUCUGAGAAAUCUCCAUACUGUUUUCCACAGUGGUUGCACCAGUUUACAAUUCCACCAAUAGCGUAAUAGGUUACCUUUUCUCCACACCCUCUUCAUCACUUAUUGUUUGUAGACUUUUUGAUGAUGGCCAUUCUGGCUGGUGUAAGGUGGUACCUCAUCGUGGUUUUGAUUUGCAUUUCUCUAAUAAUGAGUGAUGUUGAACAUCUUUUCAUGUGUUUCUUGGCCAUCUGUAUGUCUUCUUUGGAGAACUGUCUGUUUAGAUCUUCUGCCCAUUUUUUGAUGGGGUUGUUUGUGUUUUGGUAUGGAGUGGUAGGAGGUGUUUAUAAAUUUUGGAGAUGAAUCCCUUGUCAGUCGAUUCAUUUGCAAAGAUUUUCCCCCAUUCUGUGGAUUGUCUUUUUGUUUUGUUUAGGGUUUCCUUUGCUGUGUAGAAACUUUGAAGUUUGAUUAGGUCCCAUUUGUUUAUUUUUGUUUUUAUUGUCAAUACUCUAGGAGGUGGAUCCAAGAAGAUGUUGCUGUCGUUUAUGUCAGAGAGUGUUUGGCCUCUGUUUUCCUCUAAGAGUUUGAUAGAGUCUGGCGUUAUAUCUAGGUCUUUAAUCCAUUUUGAGUUGAUGUUUGUGUAUGGUGUUAGGGAGUGUUCUGAUUUCAUUCUUUUCCAUGUGGCUGUCCAGUUCUCCCAGCGCCACUUAUGGAAGAGGCUGUCUUUUCUCCCUUGUAUAUUCUUGCCUCCUUUGUCAUAGAUUAGUUGGCUGUAGGUGCGUGGGUUUAAUUCUGGGCUUUCUAUCCUGUUCCACUGUUCUAUAUUAUCUUUCCAUUUCUUUGAGUCAUCCUCGAUUUCCUUUAUUAAUGUUUUCUAGUGCUCAGCAUAUAAAUCUUUCACCUUCUCGAUCAGGUUUAUUCCUAAGUAUUUUAUUUUUUUGAUGUGGUGUUAAAAGGGAAUCUUUUUACUUUCCCUUUCUGAUAUUUCAUUAUUAGUGUAAAGAAAUGCAGCAUAUUUCUGCAUGUUAAUCUUAUAUCCUGCUACCUUGCCAAAUUCUUUUAUCAGUUCUAGUGGUUUUAGUGUGAAAUUAUUAGUUAUGUAUAUAUGUAGUAUCAUGUCAUCUGCAUAUAAUAACAAUUUUACCUCUUCCCUGAGGUAGGGUUUUCUGGGGGUUUUUUAAAUAUAUUAUUUGCAGUUAUGUUUAGUGAGGCUAUAAAGUGUUAGACUCGAUUUUUACUCAAAAUUAUUUAUUCCAGAGUUCCCAUUGUCACUCAGCAGGUUAAGAACCUGACUAGCAUCCAUGAGGAUUAGGGUUCAAUCCCUGGACUUGCUCAGUGGGUUAAGAAUCCAGCAUUGCCACAACUUCGGCAUAGGUCCAAGAUACAGCUGAGAUCCCACAUUGCUAUGGCUGUGGCGUAGGCCAGCAACUGCAGCUCUGAUUUGAUCCUUAGCCUGGGAACUUCCACAUAAUGCAGGUGGGGCCCUAAAAAAAAAAGUGUGUGACUUCAAAAUUAUUUAUUCCUAGGAUCUUGGUUUGUUUUAUGUGGUCAUUGUUCUUAGCAUACUAAUAUAAGAUCCUUAAACAUCUUCUGUUGAAAAAUCCUGGAGGGCCUGAUUUGGCAUGAAUGAAUUUAGCCAGAUGCCCAAGACAGAUGCCCUUUCUUGUUUAAGCCGUUCAAGUUUGCAACCAGAGAACUCCAUGUAAUGGAAGGAAACACAGCGUCUUCUGGCACUGUGCUCAUUUCCAGUUAUGUGCUUUCUACGUCUCCUCGUUCAUUUCCUCUUGCCAGUUUUCUUUUUCUUAGGCCCAGUGAUUUUUCCCUCUUCACUACUCUUCGAACACCAAGUUCAGAUCGGUUCAGAAUAUGUAUUUUAAUAGUCAUCUGGGCAAUUCUUGCCGUCUGAUAAAUUUCAAAGUCUAGGCAGUGGGAGGGCUUUAGAUCUGUGACCUACACAGUGCGACCUCGCCCACUGCUGAGAGCCUCUCAAGGUUUUCUCUUUUCCUCACACCAUAUGUUCAGUCCAUCAGCAAAUCCUCUCAGCUCUACCUUCAAAAUAUGUUCAGGAUCUAAGAGUUCCCGUUGUGGUGUAGCAGAAACAAAUCGGACUAGGAACCAUGAGGUUGCCGGUUUGAUCCCUGGCCUCGCUCAGUGAGUUAAGGAUCCGGCAUUGCUAUGAGCUAUGGUGUAGGUCAAAGAUGAGACUUGCAUCAGAUGUUGCUGUGACUGUGGUGUAGGCCAGCAGCCGUAGCUCUGAUUCGACCCCUAGCCUGGGCACCUCCAUAUGCUGCAGGUGUGGCCCUAAAAAGCAAAAUAUACAUAUAUAUAUGUAUAUAUAUAUAUUUUUUUUUUUUCAGGAUCUGAUCCCUUCUCACCACCUCCACUGCUACUACCCUAGACAAGACAUCCUUUUCUUUCCUUCCAAUAAUGGAGCUGCCUCCUGACUGAUUCCUCACCACACUUCCUUUCCUACAGCUUGUUCCCCACACAACAGCCAGAUUGGUCUCAAAAAAAAUCGGAUGCCAUCCCUGUCCUGUUCAAACCCUCUGUUAGGGGCUGAAUCACGACCCUUGAAAAUUCAUAUGUUGAAGCCCUCACCUCCAAUACCUCAGAAUGCAACUGUAUUGGGAGAUAGGACCUUUAAAGUGGUAAUUAAAGUGGCACAAUGGGAUCAGUGGCAUCUCUGCAGGGCCGGGACACAGGUUCAAUCCCUGGCCUGGUGUAGUGGGUUAAAGAAUCCAGUGUUGGAGUUCCUAUUGCGGCUCAAUGGUAAUGAACCCCACUAGUAUCCAUGAAGAUGUGGAUUCAAUCCCUGGACCCACUCAGUGGGUUAAGGAUCUGGUGUUGCCGUGAGGUGCAGUGUAGGUUUCAAACAUGGGUUGGAUCUGGUGUAGCUGUGGCUAUGGUGUAAGGCCGGCAGCUGUAACUCCAAUUCAACCCCUAGCCUGGGAACGUCCAUAGGCUGUGAGUGCAGCCCUAAAAUGACAGAGAGAAAAAAAGGGAUCCAGGGUUGUCACAGCUGUAGCAUAGCUUGCAACUGCAGCUCCAAUCUGAUCCCUGGCAUGGGAGCUGCGUUUCUGCCAGGUGGCCACAAAAAGAAAAAAAGAAAGAAAGAAAAGAAGGUAAUCCAGUUAAAAUGAGGUCAUUAGUGUGGGCCUGAAUCCAAUGGAAUUGUGUCCUUGAAAAAAGAGGAAAUUUGGACACAGACAUCUACAGAAGGAAGAUCAUAUGAAGCCAUAGAGAGAAGACCCUCUAAAGCCAAGGAGAAAGGCCUCAGAAGAAACCCUGCUGACACCUUAAUCUCAGGCUGUGAGAAAUCAGUUUCUGUUGCUUAAGUCACCCCAUCUGUGGUACUUUGUUAUGGAAGCCUGAGCAAAUGAAUAUACUCUCCUGAUCUCACCUAGAGACAAAGUCAACGUCCUUAUCCAAACCUAUAAAGCCCUAAAUGACAAACUUUCCAGACAUGGUGCCCACUGCUUGGAAACUCAUUGUUUCAGCAAAUUAGGAGGCUAAAGACUUGCCAUUGUUACAUGGAAGCUAGACUGACACAGUUACUGUUGUAACAGGAAAAAUCUAGCAUUGGAAGGAAAAUUAGCUGUCAAUAAAUAUUAGCCUUAAUGAUGAUCACAUAAAUUAAAAUCUCAUCUCAGAAAGUUUAGCCAACUCUGCCUACCUUUCUGAUCUGCUCUUCAGUGGAGAUCUUGGAAACAGUUCUUUAGUUCUUCGUAUAUGGGGCAGGACCACACAAAUCCCCCUUCGUUGUCAGAACUGGGUGUUGAUGGCAGGUGAAGGGCUGAAAUCGAGCAACACAUGGAAUUACCUCGUGGUUUAUUACUCAUUUCAAUUAAAGGACCAUAAAUCUCUAGCCGGGUUGCGCUGUUUCCACUGAGACGUCAAAACGGUUGAAAGGAGGCUCAGAAAGCUGCUUGGCUCCUGCCUGGGACAGGCAGCUAAUAGUGCAACCAGGAGAGCAGCUGGUUCUUGUAAUUAGUGCUGUUGUUCCAAAUUUAAAGAGAGAAGAGAGAAUUAAGUAAAGUGCUUUGGGGUGGGAGAGAUGGCUGGGCGAAGAGCGUAAACGAAGGUGGGGGGGGGUGUUGCCAUGGCCGCCUUUGUCCUGUUUAUCUACCAUGUUAGUUUGCUGGAGCUGCCACACAAAUACGACACACUGGGUGACUUCAACAACAGGAAUGUAUUUUCUUACCGCUCUGGAGGCUAGGGAGUCCAAGGUUAAGGCAUCAGUAGGGUUGUUUUCCUCUGACGCCUUUCCGCCUUGGCUUGCAGAUGGCCGCUUUUGCACCGUAUCCUUGCAUGGCCUUUUCUCCGUGCAUGUGCACCCCUGGGGUCUAGGUGUUCUAAGCGCCUCUUUUUUUUUUUUUUUUUUUUGGCUGCACCCAUGGCAUGCAGAAGUUCGCAGACCAGCAACUGAACCCGUAUCACAGAAGUGACAAUGCUGGACUAUAAUCCACAGGGCCACCAGGGAACUCCCUAAUCUCCUCUUCUUAUGAGAACACCAGUCAGAUGGGCUUAGGGCCCACCCUAAUGGCCUCAUUUUAAUUUAAUCACCUCUUUCAAGGUCCCUUCUCCAAAUACUGUCACCUUUUGAGGUCCUGGGCAUUAGGACUUCAACAUAUGAAUAUCAGGGCAGAGACACAGUUCCGCUCCUGACACCUGCCUGGUGCUUGGCCACCCCCAGCAGAUGUGAAUGUUGGUUGCUAGUAACUUACAGCUACUUACUUACAACCUUCUCCUCAGAGAAUUGUUCGAGGGUGACUGGGGUCCCCUUACCUGGGAACUUGCCCUGACACUGUUAUA
RNAcentral lists this long non-coding RNA (5308 nucleotides) under Sus scrofa (pig). Its description in RNAcentral is "lncRNA (ENSSSCG00040018218.1)". Lineage: Eukaryota; Metazoa; Chordata; Mammalia; Artiodactyla; Suidae. The record is from RNAcentral.